Molecule: long non-coding RNA, 1882 nt
Filed under: Eutrema salsugineum
Lineage: Eukaryota; Viridiplantae; Streptophyta; Magnoliopsida; Brassicales; Brassicaceae
Description: long non-coding RNA (ESAL_LNC000630)
Source: RNAcentral
UGAUAUUGUUCACGUGCUAAUCACGUGUUCAUCUCCUAAGCCUGGCGAGUUUACUCAGCAUCACUCGCGAUCUGACUCACCGAUCCCCGCCCCUUCCGUUCACUCCGAGAGAAGAAAAGAAAUCGUGCAAUUUCUGAUCCCGUAAACAUCAACAAUUGGCAGUUUCAUCGAGAUUCGACAGAACACGAAAAUCUCAAUACAAAAGGAAGGAGACGAUUGCGAAUUAAGGUGAAAUCUCUAAUUUCAUAGGUUUACAUAGUAAGUAAAUUUGGGGAAUGGAAGAAGCGAAAACUCAUCAGGAGCUUCGAAUUAGCUUAAUCCCCCAGCUUCUAUCCUCACAAUGUCUCACAAAAGGUGCGAUCUUUCCCGUGUUGAUUCCGGCAUUACCUUCGCAGCCAUAAGCUGGAGGGGCUGACUCAGUUUUUCUGCCAAAGGGUCUGACACGUUAUUUGUUUGGUUACUUUGGUGAUGGUUUCUACUUACUCUGGUGCCUAUAUUAUAUAUAUAUUGAUUCUCGUUUUCAUGUUGAAAGCGAGGGAAAAUAAACUGUCAUGAUGUGACGACCAUCAAGAGGUCAAGGAUUCGGGGUCGAAUUCUCUAAAAGGUAUGUUUCGAUCAUUAUCCUGACUUCCUGAGCAUGACUGCUAAAUUGGCUACAUAAUCUCUCUUAACCAUUAUGACGUCGAAUUCUCAACCGAAGCUAACUUAACUUAAUGGCAUUGCUUGUUCUGUAAAAUAGUUGUCGACUAAACCAUAUUCUAUUCUUUCUGAUUAGUUAUGUAAACUUUAGAAUGUGACUUACCAACCCAUUGCAUGCAAUAAAAUUAGCUGAUGACACCGAGAAUUGGAGUCUAAUGAUACUGUUCAUUUGUUCCAAACCGGGCAUCCAGAUAUUUUGUGGAAAUUUUGAAAUUUAACUACUAGUUGAGUGGCUUAUUUGAGAACAACUAUUACCAACCCAUUGCAUAAGUUAUGUUUGGCUCCCUGUUUUCAAAUCACAUGAUGAAAAUGUAUCACUUGUCGUGUAACAUAAGUUUGGAUUGCCUUGUGAACUGCUAAGUAAGCUUUAGCGCUGUUCAAGAAAACAAAAAAAAAUAAAUAAAUAGAUAAAGUAAGUUUUAGCAUGCGACAUAUGAACCCAUACAUACAUAAAAGUAACCGGACUCAUAUGCAUACGAGUAUUUGAGCUAGCUAUAUGAGAGUAGUAGUAGGCAAAAUGGGGAGUGGAAAGAAGCUAAAACUCAUAGCGGAACUUGAACUAGCUUUAGUCCCCAGCUUCUAUCCUCACAAUAUCUCACAUAAGGGACCAUAUUUCCUGUCUUGAUUCCGGUCUUACCUUUACAGCCAUAUGCUGGAGGUGAAUGGAAACACGGUUCCAUGGACAUGGCACAACCACAUGGGGGAUCAGGAACUUUGUGGUUUACAGGCUUGUAAAGUAUCCAAGGCUUUAAUCCGCCAAGACCUUGAGCUACGUAUCCAAAAGUAGACCAACCGCUGGUCACAAGUUUAUCAGUUAGGCUUAGAAGAUACAUCUCGGCGAGCGCCCUUUGGUCAUGACGCUUCUUGUCUGUCUGCUGAUGCCCUUCUUGACUUGGCUGGUGAACUACAACAAUGUCUCCUGUUGAACUCGGGUAUUCCCAGUACAUACUCUUGAGAUUCUCUGAAUAUCCAGAACUCAGAGAAGUAACUAGCACGGCUUUCACUUUGGCGCUUUUUGAUACAUUGACUUGUGUUUCUUCUUCUUGUGGAGCUGCUUCAGGCAACAGUUUCUCUCUUUGUGUACAGGCUAGGAUCUGGUCCAUGACAUGCUGGAGAUAUAUAGCGCGUUCGCCAAAAACCCGUACUUGAAUCCCGAGUGUCUCAUCUGCCCUAGACAAGUAAG